UACGUAGGUGGCAAGCGUUGUCCGGAAUUACUGGGUGUAAAGGGAGCGCAGGCGGGAAGCCAAGUCAGCUGUGAAAAUUACGGGCUUAACUUGUAGACUGCAGUUGAAACUGGUUUUCUUGAGUGAAGUAGAGGUUGGCGGAAUUCCGAGUGUAGCGGUGAAAUGCGUAGAUAUUCGGAGGAACACCGGUGGCGAAGGCGGCCAACUGGGCUUUAACUGACGCUGAGGCUCGAAAGUGUGGGGAGCAAACAGG
This 253-nucleotide ribosomal RNA is filed under the name uncultured bacterium. RNAcentral describes it as "partial 16S ribosomal RNA". It matches the Rfam family "Bacterial small subunit ribosomal RNA", at positions 524 to 776 of the family's 1533-position model. The record is from RNAcentral.